GAGUUUGAUCCUGGCUCAGGAUGAACGCUGGCGGCGUGCCUAAUACAUGCAAGUCGAACGAAUCUUCUUCGGAAGAUGAGUGGCGAACGGGUGAGUAAUACAUAGGUAACCUGCCCCUGUGCGGGGGAUAACAGGAGGAAACUCCUGCUAAUACCGCAUAGCCAUGAGCACCGCAUGGAGCUCAUGCCAAAUAUCCUUCAGGGGAUAGCGCAGGGAUGGACCUAUGGCGCAUUAGCUAGUUGGCGGGGCAACGGCCCACCAAGGCAACGAUGCGUAGCCGGCCUGAGAGGGCGGACGGCCACAUUGGGACUGAGACACGGCCCAGACUCCUACGGGAGGCAGCAGUAGGGAAUUUUCGGCAAUGGGGGAAACCCUGACCGAGCAACGCCGCGUGAGCGAAGAAGGCCUUCGGGUCGUAAAGCUCUGUUGUAAAGGAAGAACGUCGCAUGCAGGAAAUGGUGUGCGAGUGACGGUACUUUACCAGAAAGCCACGGCUAACUACGUGCCAGCAGCCGCGGUAAUACGUAGGUGGCGAGCGUUAUCCGGAAUCAUUGGGCGUAAAGAGGGAGCAGGCGGCCGCAAGGGUCUGUGGUGAAAGACCGAAGCUAAACUUCGGUAAGCCAUGG
This 626-nucleotide ribosomal RNA is filed under the name uncultured bacterium. RNAcentral's name for it is "bacterial SSU rRNA". It matches the Rfam family "Bacterial small subunit ribosomal RNA", at positions 9 to 629 of the family's 1533-position model. The record is from RNAcentral.